Molecule: ribosomal RNA, 450 nt
Filed under: uncultured bacterium
Lineage: Bacteria
Description: bacterial SSU rRNA
Rfam family: Bacterial small subunit ribosomal RNA
Source: RNAcentral
ACUCCUACGGGAGGCAGCAGUGGGGAAUAUUGGACAAUGGGCGCAAGCCUGAUCCAGCCAUGCCGCGUGAGUGAUGAAGGCCUUAGGGUUGUAAAGCUCUUUUGUCCGGGACGAUAAUGACUGUACCGGAAGAAUAAGCCCCGGCUAACUUCGUGCCAGCAGCCGCGGUAAUACGAAGGGGGCUAGCGUUGCUCGGAAUCACUGGGGCGUAAAGGGGCGCGUAGGCGGCCUUGUAAGUUGGGGGUGAAAGCCCGUGGCUCAACCACGGAAUUGCCUUCGAUACUGCUUGGCUUGAGUGUGGUAGAGGUUGGUGGAACUGCGAGUGUAGAGGUGAAAUUCGUAGAUAUUCGCAAGAACACCGGUGGCGAAGGCGGCCAACUGGACCAUCACUGACGCUGAGGCGCGAAAGCGUGGGGAGCAAACAGGAUUAGAUACCCUGGUAGGAUAGCG